GUUAUGAAGAGAGUCGCCAGUUAAUUGAUUCACAAAUUAUUUAAAGUUUGUUGCACCCAAGGGAGUGCUCAGUUUCAUGACAGUCAUUUCUUAAAGUGUACAAACUCCUUUUUCACCUUAAGAAUGUCUUCAGUUAUUAAGCAUGAUAAAAUGCCAACAGUUUUCUGGGCCUAUGAGUAAUCUUAAUAUUUAUGAUUUAGAAUCUGUAGGUGAAUAUGUGGAGAUUAAGUCUGUGUUGGAAGGAGAAAAGUUAGCUAAAUUAUCAAUGAUUCUCAUGGCAACUUUUUUUCAUUGCUUUUGAGUUAGUAAUUUUAAGUAGUUUUCUAAACAUCACCUCGUAUCUUUUUUUUUUCCCAUGUGUGUAUUUGCUGUACAUGGAGCAUUAUGUUGAAAGACAAUAUAGGUAGCAUUUUAAAGAAAUUUUGAAUGGGUAAAUAACACAGUACAAAUUGUUUUGAUGAUUGGUGUCUGAAGCAUUUGGAUUUCU
Molecule: long non-coding RNA, 487 nt
Filed under: Bos taurus (domestic cattle)
Lineage: Eukaryota; Metazoa; Chordata; Mammalia; Artiodactyla; Bovidae
Description: long non-coding RNA NONBTAT007000
Source: RNAcentral